GUGGUAUUUCUGGAUCCUUACCAAGGCAGUGAUGGUAUAUGCCUUCUCUCAAAAAGUAUGUAGUAUUUGUGGUAUAAGGCAUAGUGACAUUGCCUUCUCUCUCACCCUACUCUAAUAAGGCUUUAAUAUCUGGAGCUCAUAGGUGGGAGAUAAAGUAUACAUACUUACAAGACAUUUAUUGUAUAGUCAAACCAUGGAUCCAAAGAAACAAAUCAAUAAGUCAAAUCAAGAUGUGCAUGUGUGGCGAAUGAAUGGUGUAUGGUGAUGAUGGUGAUAACAAUGGUGAAAGUCUAAUUCUACUUUUGCUCUUUGAGGGGAUACAUACCUUUCUUGCUUUUUGAAACUUUGUGAGGAGAAUGAGAUGCUCUAUAUUUCAUUUUCUCUCAGGUGGGUAUCUUGUACCCCUAAUUCUACUGUCGGACACUUAUCCAUUUUUACCUCUCAUCUCACUUUUUCUUUUCUUUCGAGGUU
Molecule: long non-coding RNA, 471 nt
Filed under: Sorghum bicolor (sorghum)
Lineage: Eukaryota; Viridiplantae; Streptophyta; Magnoliopsida; Poales; Poaceae
Description: long non-coding RNA (SBIC_LNC012886)
Source: RNAcentral